This is a long non-coding RNA of Mirounga angustirostris (Northern elephant seal), 3126 nucleotides long. RefSeq lists it as uncharacterized. Lineage: Eukaryota; Metazoa; Chordata; Mammalia; Carnivora; Phocidae. The record is from RefSeq and is a predicted model, not a curated record. The transcript has 2 exons.
ACAAGAACCCGCUCCCAGUACCAGGCCCGGGGCCCAGGCUCCCAUGCUCUCUGGAUCACUCACCAGGCCGGGGCUGAGAGCCCUCCAGGUGGUAGGAGAAGCGCAGGGCCCGGUGGUGCUGUGGACUGGGGCCGCAGGGCUCCAUGCCCAGUGCAGAGCCCAGCAUGGGACUUGAACUCAAGACCAUGAGAUCAAGAGCUGAGCUGAGAUCAAGAGCUGAGCCGAGAUCAAGCAUCAGAUACUCAACAGACUGAGCCACCCAGCUCAACUGUAUUCCUUCUGCUGUGCCUUUUAUUCCCCUGACCUGUUCAUUCCAUAACUAGAAGCCUGUAUACCCCACUCCCCUUCACCCAUUUUGCCUCACUCCAACCCCUUCCCCUCUGGCAACCAUCAGUUUGUUCUCCGUAUUUAUAGGUCUGAUUCUGCUUUUUGUUUAUUCAUUUUUUAGAUUCCACUUAUGAGUGGAAUUAUUUGGUAUUUGUCUUUGUCUGACUUAUUUCACUUAGCAUAAUACUCUCUAGGUCCAUCCAUGUUGUCUCAAAUGGCACAAUCUCAUUCUUUUUUUUUGGCUGUGUGAUAUUCCAUUGUGUAUAUAUACCACAUCUUCCUUAUGCAUUCACCUAUUGAUAGAUACUUAGGUUGCUUCUGUAUCUUGGCUAUAGUAAAUAAUGCUGCAGUAAACACAGGGGUGCAUAUAUGUUUUUGGAUUACUGUUCUCACUUUCUUUGGGUAAAUACCCAGUAGUGGAAUUACUGGAUCAUAUGGCAGUUUAUUUUUAAUUUUUUAAAUUUAAAAUCAAUUUAACAUAUAGUGUAUUAGUUUCAGGGGUAGAGUUUAGUGAUACAUCAGUUGCAUAUAAUACACAGUGCUCAUUACAUCAAGUGCCCUCCUUAAUGCUCUACAUCCAGUUACCCCAUCCCCCCACCCACCUCCCCUCCAGCAGCCCUCAGUUUUUUUCCUAUAGUUAAGAAUCUCUUGGGCGCCUGGGUGGCUCAGUUGGUUAAGCGACUGCCUUCGGCUCAGGUCGUGAUCCCGGAGUCCCGGGAUCGAGUCCCGCAUCAGGCUCCCUGCUCGGCAGGGAGCCUGCUUCUUCCUCUGGCUCUCCCCCCUCUCAUGCUCUCUCUAUCUCAUUGUCUCUCUCAAAUAAAUAAAUUAAAAAAAAAAAAAUCUUUAAAAAAAAAAAAAAAAAAAAGAAUCUCUUAUGGUUUGCCUCCAUCUGUUUUCAUCUUAUUUUCUUAUUUUUUCCCUUCUCCUAUGUUCAUCUGUUUUAUUUCUUAAAUUCCACAUAUGAGUGAAAUCAUGUGAUAUUUAUCUUUCUCUGACUGACUUAUUUCGCUUAGCAUAAUACCCUCUAGUUCCAUCCACGUCGUUGCAAAUAGCAAGAUUUCAUUCUUCCUGAUGGCUGAGUAGUAUCUCAUUGUGUGUGUGUUUGUGUGUGUGUGUGUGUGUGUACCACAUCUUCUUUAUCCAUUCAUCUAUCUAUGGACAUCUGGGCUCCUUCCAUAGUUUGGCUAUUGUGGACAUUGCUGCUAUAAACAUUGGGGUGCAGGUGCCCCUUCAAAUCACUGUCUGUAUCCUUUGGAUAAAUACCUAGAAGUGCAAUUGCUGGGUCAUAGGGUAGCUCUAUUUUUAACUUUCUGAAGAACCUCCAUACUGUUUUCCAGAGUUGCUGUACUAGUUUGCAUUCGCACCAACAGUGUAAGAGGGUUCCCCUUUCUCUGCAUCCUCACCAACACCUAUUGCUUCCCGAGUUGUUAAUUUUAGCCAUUCUGACUGGUGUGAGGUGGUAUCUCAUUGUAGUUUUGAUUUGUAUUUCUCUGAUGCCAAAUAAUGUGGAGCAUUUUCUCAUGUGUCAGUUGGCCAUUCGUAUGUCUUCUUUGGAGAAAUGUCUGUUCAUGUCUUUUGCUCAUUUCUUGACUGGAUUUUUUGUGUUUUUUUGGGUGUUGAGUUUUUUAAGUUCUUAAUAGAUUUUGGACACUAGCCCUCUAUCUGAUAAGACAUUUGCAAAUAUCUUUUCCCAUUCCACAGGCUGCCUUUUAGUUUUGUUGACUGUUUCCUUUGCUGUGCAAAAGCUUUUUUUUUUUUUUAAGAUUUUAUUUAUUUAUUUGACAGAUAGAGAGCACAAGUAGGCAGAGUGGCAGGCAGAGGGAGAGGGAGAAGCAGGCUCUCUGCUGAGCAGGGGGCCCGACGUGGGGCUCGAUCCCAGGACCCUGGGAUCAUGACCCGAGCUGAAGGCAGCUGCUUUACCAACUGAGCCACCCAGGCGCCCCUGUGCAAAAGCUUUUUAUCUUGAUCAAGUCCCAGUAGUCAUUUUUGCUUUUGUUUCUCUUGCUUUUGGAGAUGUGUCUAGCAAAAAAUUGCUGUGGCCAGUGUCAAAAGAGGUUGCUACCUGUGUUCUCCUCUAGUAUUUUGAUGGAUUCCUCUAUACUGUUUUCCACAGUGGCUGCACCAAUUUGCAUUCCCACCAAUAGUGCACGAGGAUUCCUUUUUCUCCACAUCCUCUCCACACUUGUUAUUUCUUGUCUUUUUGAUAAUAGCCAUUCUGACAGGUGUGAGGUGAUAUCUCACAGUGGUUUUGAUUUGCAUUUCCCUGAUAAUGAGUGAUGUUGAGCAUCUUUUCAUAGGUCUGGUAUAAGUUCUUUAUAUAUUUGAAUAUUAACCCCUUAUCAUUUGAUAUAUCAUUUGUAAAUAUCUUCUCCCAUUCAAUAGGUCAUCUUUUUGUUUCGUUGAUGGUUUCCUUUCCUGUGCAAAAGCAUUUUAUUUUGGUAUAGUCCCAACAGUUUAAUUUUGCUUGUCUUAGGAGAUAUAUCUAGAAAAAUGUUGCUAAGGCUGAUGUCAAAGAAAUUACUGCCUGUGUUCUCUUCUAGGAACAGUAUUUUUUUACAUUAGCAGCAAACGAGUAGAAAAAAAUGUAAUUAAAAAUAAGAUACCUAAAAUUAGUCACUAAGCCAAAAUGUAAACUUUCCUAAAUAUCAGGGUAACUACAAAAAUACCAAACAAAACAGACUGCAUAGUAAAAUACUUUUAAUAUAUGAACAUAGAGCUAAAAAAGAAAAUAAAACUUAAAAUAAUAUGACAAUAUUAACACCAAACAUCUUUUGUAUCAAUAAAUAUAAAUGGUCUUAA